UACGUAGGUGACAAGCGUUGUCCGGAUUUACUGGGCGUAAAGAGCGCGCAGGCGGUCGUUCAAGUCGCGUGUGAAAGCCCCCGGCUCAACUGGGGAGGGUCAUUCGAUACUGAUCGACUCGAAGGCAGGAGAGGGUAGUGGAAUUCCCGGUGUAGUGGUGAAAUGCGUAGAUAUCGGGAGGAACACCAGUGGCGAAGGCAGCUACCUGGCCUGUUCUUGACGCUGAGGCGCGAAAGCUAGGGGAGCAAACGGG
This 253-nucleotide ribosomal RNA is filed under the name uncultured bacterium. Its description in RNAcentral is "partial 16S ribosomal RNA". It matches the Rfam family "Bacterial small subunit ribosomal RNA", at positions 524 to 776 of the family's 1533-position model. The record is from RNAcentral.